Molecule: transfer-messenger RNA, 369 nt
Filed under: Nocardioides mangrovicus
Lineage: Bacteria; Bacillati; Actinomycetota; Actinomycetes; Propionibacteriales; Nocardioidaceae
Description: Marmoricola mangrovicus Standard tmRNA
Rfam family: transfer-messenger RNA
About the family: Bacterial tmRNA, also known as 10Sa RNA or SsrA, is named for its dual tRNA and mRNA-like properties.
Source: Rfam by way of RNAcentral
GGGGCUGAUUGGUUUCGACUGGGGACGCUAGUCCCAGGAGAAGCGGGUCGAGGAGCCAGCGUCAUCUCGUAAACGACCGCUGGAACACACAGUUGCCAACUCUAAGCGCAACGACUUCGCUCUCGCUGCCUGAGCAGUGAUCGAAGGGUCAGACCGGGCAUCCGUCUCCGUCCCGGACCCUGGCCUCAUUUAGGAGACUUGCUGGUCACUCCCUGUCAGGAGGGGUGACCGGGACUUUUUCCUGACUGAGCUCGUCGGCGACCUGUUCGUGGGAGUGCCGGAGCCGAGAAACCGCCAUCACGAACUGCACCCGGAGAAGACCUGGUUCGGCGCUCGAGGACGCGGGUUCGAUUCCCGCCAGCUCCACGC